RNAcentral lists this ribosomal RNA (521 nucleotides) under uncultured bacterium. RNAcentral's name for it is "bacterial SSU rRNA". It matches the Rfam family "Bacterial small subunit ribosomal RNA", at positions 8 to 518 of the family's 1533-position model. The record is from RNAcentral.
AGAGUUUGAUUAUGGCUCAGGAUGAACGCUAGCUACAGGCUUAACACAUGCAAGUCGAGGGGCAGCAUUGGGAUAGCUUGCUAUUCAGAUGGCGACCGGCGCACGGGUGAGUAACGCGUAUCCAACCUUCCUGCCAGUAGGGAACAGCCCGGCGAAAGUCGGAUUAAUGCCCUAUGUUCUUCAAUGCGGACAUCUAAGUUGAAGGAAAGAUUCAUCGCUGGCAGAUGGGGAUGCGUCCGAUUAGCUUGCCGGCGGGGUAACGGCCCACCGGGGCGACGAUCGGUAGGGGUUCUGAGAGGAAGGUCCCCCACACUGGCACUGAGACACGGGCCAGACUCCUACGGGAGGCAGCAGUGAGGAAUAUUGGUCAAUGGGCGAAAGCCUGAACCAGCCAAGUAGCCGUGCAGGAUGACGGCCCUACGGGUUGUAAACUGCUUUUGCGGGAGGAUAAAGGACACUACGUGUAGUGUUUUGCAGGUAUCCCGUGAAUAAGGACCGGCUAAUUCCGUGCCAGCCGCCGC